Molecule: ribosomal RNA, 773 nt
Filed under: uncultured beta proteobacterium
Lineage: Bacteria; Pseudomonadati; Pseudomonadota; Betaproteobacteria
Description: bacterial SSU rRNA
Rfam family: Bacterial small subunit ribosomal RNA
Source: RNAcentral
GAACGCUGGCGGCAUGCCUUACACAUGCAAGUCGAACGGCAGCACGGGGGCAACCCUGGUGGCGAGUGGCGAACGGGUGAGUAAUAUAUCGGAACGUGCCAAGUAGUGGGGGAUAACUAGUCGAAAGAUUAGCUAAUACCGCAUACGCUCUACGGAGGAAAGUGGGGGAUCCGCAAGGACCUCAUGCUAAUUGAGCGGCCGAUAUCUGAUUAGCUAGUUGGUGGGGUAAAAGCUCACCAAGGCGACGAUCAGUAGCUGGUCUGAGAGGACGACCAGCCACACUGGGACUGAGACACGGCCCAGACUCCUACGGGAGGCAGCAGUGGGGAAUUUUGGACAAUGGGGGCAACCCUGAUCCAGCAAUGCCGCGUGAGUGAAGAAGGCCUUCGGGUUGUAAAGCUCUUUUGUCCGGGAAGAAAUCCUAUCCGCUAAUACCGGGUGGGGAUGACGGUACUGGAAGAAUAAGCACCGGCUAACUACGUGCCAGCAGCCGCGGUAAUACGUAGGGUGCAAGCGUUAAUCGGAAUUACUGGGCGUAAAGCGUGCGCAGGCGGUUGUGCAAGACAGAUGUGAAAUCCCCGGGCUUAACCUGGGAAUGGCAUUUGUGACUGCACGGCUAGAGUGUGUCAGAGGGGGGUAGAAUUCCACGUGUAGCAGUGAAAUGCGUAGAGAUGUGGAGGAAUACCGAUGGCGAAGGCAGCCCCCUGGGAUAACACUGACGCUCAUGCACGAAAGCGUGGGGAGCAAACAGGAUUAGAUACCCUGGUAGUCCA